GGGGGUGUAGCUCAGUUCGGCAGAGCACUUCGUUCGCAACGAAGGGGCCGUCGGUUCAAAUCCGAUCACCUCCACCA
This 77-nucleotide transfer RNA is filed under the name Actinomycetes bacterium. RNAcentral describes it as "tRNA-Ala". It matches the Rfam family "tRNA". Rfam says of the family: Transfer RNA (tRNA) molecules are approximately 80 nucleotides in length. Their secondary structure includes four short double-helical elements and three loops (D, anti-codon, and T loops). RNAcentral also lists the same sequence under 3 other names. Lineage: Bacteria; Bacillati; Actinomycetota; Actinomycetes. The record is from RNAcentral.